Long non-coding RNA from Oncorhynchus tshawytscha (Chinook salmon), 475 nucleotides. Lineage: Eukaryota; Metazoa; Chordata; Actinopteri; Salmoniformes; Salmonidae. The record is from Ensembl.
CCCAGUUCCCCGCACGGUAUAUUCCCUUUGAGUCAGGAACCAAAGUGCUCUUUCAAGCAUUGGAGCUGGCACUGAAACAUGAGUGAGUGAGGUAUUGCUUCCCACCAGGAGAAGAAGAGCGUCAGAUGAAUCCUUGGGUUUUCUUGUGGUGGUGUCUGCUGGGGCCAGGGUCUUGCGUGGUCUUCAGGAAUCUGGUGGACAACGGGCCUCCCGAAUGGCGCAGUGGUCUAAGGCUCUGCAUCGCAGUGCUAGCUGUGACACUAGAGAUUCUGGUUUUGAGUCCAGGUUCUGUCGAAGUCUGCUGCGACCGGGAGACCCAUGGGGCGGCCCACAAUUGGCUCAUCGUCGUCCGGGUUAGCGACUCCUGUGGCAGGUCGAGCGCAGUGCAUGCUGACAUGGUCACCAGGUGUAUGGUGUUUCCUCUGACACAUUGGUGCGGCUGGCUUAAGGAUUAAGUGGGCAUUAUGUCAAGAAG